Molecule: ribosomal RNA, 271 nt
Filed under: uncultured Streptococcus sp.
Lineage: Bacteria; Bacillati; Bacillota; Bacilli; Lactobacillales; Streptococcaceae
Description: partial 16S ribosomal RNA
Rfam family: Bacterial small subunit ribosomal RNA
Source: RNAcentral
GUUAGUUGCCAUCAUUCGAGUUGGGCACUCUAGCGAGACGUGCCGGUAAUAAACCGGAGGAAGUGGGAUGACGUCAAAUCAUCAUGCCCCUUAUGACCUGGGCUACACACGUGCUACAAUGGUUGGUACAACGAGUUGCGAGUCGGUGACGGCGAGCUAAUCUCUUAAAGCCAAUCUCAGUUCGGAUUGUAGGCUGCAACUCGCCUACAUGAAGUCGGAAUCGCUAGUAAUCGCGGAUCAGCAUGCCGCGGUGAAUACGUUCCCGGGCCUU